AUUUUGGACAUCCCACAUGACUACCUACUGUGAUUUUGGGAUAAAACUAGAGAAGAGGGAUGUGGAAAUCAUAGAAAAAAUUUUGAAAAAAAUCUAAGGAAAAAGUAAGGGAAAAUUAAGUGGCAAAAAUUGUAAGAAGGGUGGUGAGAUUUUUAGCAAGUAUUGCUUGUGUGCCCUAGGGUUUGAUUUUUUCAUAUGUUGGAGCUAAAAAUCAAAUCAUAGGUUGUGAGACAUCUGAAGAGUAUCUUUUUAGUAUUAUUUUGGUAGCA
RNAcentral lists this long non-coding RNA (269 nucleotides) under Elaeis guineensis (African oil palm). Its description in RNAcentral is "long non-coding RNA (EGUI_LNC056652)". Lineage: Eukaryota; Viridiplantae; Streptophyta; Magnoliopsida; Arecales; Arecaceae. The record is from RNAcentral.